RNAcentral lists this small nucleolar RNA (89 nucleotides) under Erythranthe guttata (spotted monkey flower). Its description in RNAcentral is "Mimulus guttatus (spotted monkey flower) Small nucleolar RNA snoR27". It matches the Rfam family "Small nucleolar RNA snoR27". The record is from Rfam by way of RNAcentral. Lineage: Eukaryota; Viridiplantae; Streptophyta; Magnoliopsida; Lamiales; Phrymaceae.
UUUGGAUUAAUGAUGUCAAAUAAUACACGCUGUCUGUCUGCUCUUUCUUGGAAAGAUUUGAUGACAAUUUCGUGAUUCUGAAAUCCAAA